RNAcentral lists this ribosomal RNA (720 nucleotides) under uncultured archaeon. RNAcentral's name for it is "bacterial SSU rRNA". It matches the Rfam family "Archaeal small subunit ribosomal RNA", at positions 102 to 804 of the family's 1478-position model. The record is from RNAcentral.
GGCCAACCUACCCUUAGGACGGGAACAACCCCGGGAAACUGGGGCUAAUUCCCGAUAGGCGAGGAGGCCUGGAAUGGUUCUUCACCUAAAGGGCGUCGGAGUCAUGCUUUCCGGCGUCGCCUAAGGAUGGGGCCGCGACCGAUCAGGUUGUUGGUGGGGUAAUGGCCUACCAAGCCUUUAACCGGUACGGGCCAUGAGAGUGGUAGCCCGGAGAUGGGCACUGAGAUAAGGGCCCAGGCCCUACGGGGCGCAGCAUGCGCGAAAACUCCGCAAUGCGCGAAAGCGUGACGGGGUUAUCCCGAGUGCCGUCCGCUGAGGAUGGCUUUUCUCUGGUGUAAAGCGCCGGAGGAAUAAGAGGAGGGCAAGACUGGUGUCAGCCGCCGCGGUAAUACCAGCUCCUCGAGUGGUGGGGACGAUUAUUGGGCUUAAAGCGUCCGUAGCCGGCUUGGCAAGUCUUUCGUUAAAUCCAGCGGCUUAACCGUUGGGCUGCGGGAGAUACUGUCAGGCUAGGGGGCGGAAGAGGCCGACGGUAUUCUCGGGGUAGGGGUGAAAUCCUAUAAUCCUGAGAGGACCACCAGUGGCGAAGGCGGUCGGCUAGUACGCGCUCGACGGUGAGGGACGAAAGCUGGGGGGAGCGAACCGGAUUAGAUACCCGGGUAGUCCCAGCUGUAAACGAUGCGGGCUAGGUGUUGGGGCGGCUACGUGCCGCUUCGGUGCCGC